RNAcentral lists this long non-coding RNA (1046 nucleotides) under Salmo trutta (river trout). RNAcentral describes it as "lncRNA (ENSSTUG00000027511.1)". The record is from RNAcentral. Lineage: Eukaryota; Metazoa; Chordata; Actinopteri; Salmoniformes; Salmonidae.
UUGGGAGUCAGAGAGUUCGGUUGGAAGCCCAGGUGGCUCCAGGUAAUUGGGAGUCAGAGAGUUCGGUUGGAAGCCCAGGUGGCUCCAGGUUAUUGGGAGUCAGAGAUUUCGGUUGGAAGCCCAGGUGGCUCCAGGUUAUUGGGAGUCAGAGAGUUCGGUUGGAAGCCCAGGUGGCUCCAGGUAAUUGGGAGUCAGAGAGUUCGGUUGGAAGCCCAGGUGGCUCCAGGUUAUUGGGAGUCAGAGAGUUCGGUUGGAAGCCCAGGUGGCUCCAGGUUAUUGGGAGUCAGAGAGUUCGGUUGGAAGCCCAGGUGGCUCCAGGUUGUUGGGAGUAAACGUUCAGGUUGGAAGCCCAGGUGGCUCCAGGUAAUUGGGAGUCAGAGAGUUCGGUUGGAAGCCCAGGUGGCUCCAGGUAAUUGGGAGUCAGAGAGUUCGGCUGGAAGCCCAGGUGGCUCCAGGUUGUUGGGAGUAAACGUUCAGCUGGAAGCCCAGGUGGCUCCAGGUAAUUGGGAGUCAGAGAGUUCGGUUGGAAGCCCAGGUGGCUCCAGGUUAUUGGGAGUCAGAGAGUUCGGUUGGAAGCCCAGGUGGCUCCAGGUUACAUGGUAGUUACUGCCAAUAGAGGAAGAAAAGGUGAUCCAUCCAUAUUUCCAGGAUGGGAAGGCACUUUGGUGACAAGACUUAGGCUACGUCUGAAAUUACACCCUAUCCCCUAAAAAUCAGGGAAUUAGGUGCCAUUUUGGACACACCCUGGACAGUAAUAUGUAUUGAACUGGUCUAUCAUCGUUGUGGCAGAUGAGUGUGUGUGUUUUCCAGUAGCCUUUUUAACUUCAUGGUCUUUGGGUUGUGCAUCCUGUCUAACAGAUCUUCUCUGGAAUGUUAAAAACUGAGGUUUUAUCCAAGGAGCUUGUGUUUCCCUGGCCACUGAAAGACAAGAACAAAAAAAAAAGUAUUUUAGUUACAUAUGCUUGUAUAUUGAGUAACAUAAGUACAUUUAUUCAAUAACCAGGUUAAUUAGAUUCCUUGAUCAUAGACGUUAAGCUUGUAUGCCC